GCAUGGCACAUCGUGAAUCAUCCGAGAUCUCAUCAUUAAGGAACUCUACAGCCGACGGGAGAGGAAACCACAGUUAUCUGCACACUAUUCCUCCACGACGACCUUUGCGACACCAGUUUUUGCUGUUAAUCUGCGAAAUUGCGGAUUAGCGUUGAGGGCUCUAAAAUUUGUCUAUUUGAUAAGAAACUUGCGUUGACCCACCUGGAAGAGUCCAUAGCUUACGCUCUGGUUGGGCAGCUGCAUGGAUUUGGAUGUACUGCGUCCACUCUCCGCUUCCACCAGGCAAACCCCUUUGGGGAAUUGGAAAAAUAUCCAUUGAAUGGAUCCAUUUGAGAUACAUUUACUUACAGUUCGAAAGAUAGCUGCGGGGAAAGUCAUGACGCAACAACUCCUUGGCCAAUUGGCAACGUGUCAGCAGCUUGGACUCGGUCUCCCACUGCGAAAGCAGGAGAAGAUUGAGCACCAGGACGAGCGCACCACCUUUGGGCAAGUGACUGGCCAUGUUGGUUUGGGAGGGAUUUGGACUAAUAGAGACCACUGCUAAUCCUUUUGAGAGAUUUUAGAAGCGCUUCCCUCCGCGGCAACUGCGAGCACUGGGCACUUUGCUGCGGAAUUAUUUCUACGGCACUGGAUGCGUAGCGCCCGAAAUCUGGGUUUUUAAAGCCUCGCACGCAGCUUUUGUUUUCUUCUGAGACAUUCGGGAGUGGUCUGGUGACAUGGAAACACUGUGCGGGCUACUCAUCAAUAGGGUUACUCGCCACAUUCAAUAUAAACAAUGUUUGUACAAAUUUUAACUUGGCUGUCUCAAAAGUAUCUAAAUAAUUGUGCGCUUAAGAUAUAUUAGUUUAUAUUUUAUAAGCAUUAGUAAAAAGCGGCCUAGUUUAGCUCUCAGUGCAUUCAAUAAAUCGCUUUGAUUGCGUUAAGCUGUAAA
Drosophila yakuba is the source of this 931-nucleotide long non-coding RNA. RefSeq lists it as uncharacterized. Lineage: Eukaryota; Metazoa; Arthropoda; Insecta; Diptera; Drosophilidae. The transcript is spliced from 2 exons. The record is from RefSeq and is a predicted model, not a curated record.